GAUGAACGCUGGCGGCGUGCCUAAUACAUGCAAGUCGAGCGAAUGGAUUAAGAGCUUGCUCUUAUGAAGUUAGCGGCGGACGGGUGAGUAACACGUGGGUAACCUGCCCAUAAGACUGGGAUAACUCCGGGAAACCGGGGCUAAUACCGGAUAACAUUUUGAACCGCAGGGUUCGAAAUUGAAAGGCGGCUUCGGCUGUCACUUAUGGAUGGACCCGCGUCGCAUUAGCUAGUUGGUGAGGUAACGGCUCACCAAGGGAACGAUGCGUAGCCGACCUGAGAGGGUGAUCGGCCACACUGGGACUGAGACACGGCCCAGACUCCUACGGGAGGCAGCAGUAGGGAAUCUUCCGCAAUGGGCGAAAGUCUGACGGAGCAACGCCGCGUGAGUGAUGAAGGCUUUCGGGUCGUAAAACUCUGUUGUUAGGGAAGAACAAGUGCUAGUUGAAUAAGCUGGCACCUUGACGGUACCUAACCAGAAAGCCACGGCUAACUACGUGCCAGCAGCCGCAGUAA
RNAcentral lists this ribosomal RNA (515 nucleotides) under uncultured bacterium. Its description in RNAcentral is "partial 16S ribosomal RNA". It matches the Rfam family "Bacterial small subunit ribosomal RNA", at positions 28 to 523 of the family's 1533-position model. The record is from RNAcentral.